Molecule: long non-coding RNA, 1260 nt
Organism: Mauremys mutica (yellowpond turtle)
Lineage: Eukaryota; Metazoa; Chordata; Testudines; Geoemydidae
Exons: 4
Source: RefSeq, a predicted model, not a curated record
GGCAGGUGUGUUAGUUGUGCAUCCCCACAGGCUAGGUCUUGUGAGCUAUGAACAAGUAGGGGACCGAAAUGAUGCAGGGCAGUGGGCGCUAGAGUGGAGCGGUGACUGUGGGUGUUGGCUGAGUCUCUGCUUUAGUGGAGCUGAUGUGGAUGGGAUGGGAGAGGGAGGCAGGGAUGAGAGCAAGAUUUCACGCGUCAAUUGUAUUUUGUGUAGCGAUGGCUCUUGCUUGGCUUAUUUGCUGCACUUGUAGAGGAAUUGUCCAGGAGCAGCAGCCGGAGGAGAAAUUGGCAGACGUGGGCCUGAGGAGCCUGGACAUUCUUCUAAGGAGACAUGAACAGUCCUCAGCUUUCUGCCUCGUGCAUAACUGGCUGUGGGUUUGGUGUGUCUGACUAGAGUCAUCUGUGCAGAGUGACUAUUUCAGGUGUCGUCGCAAGGGGUGCUUUCUACUUGUAGUCCUAAAGGCGUGAUGGGAGGAAGGUUCAGGGCAGAGCCCCACCAUGUGGGAGAGGCAAAAAGAAGCGGCUGCCCAACAUUGCCAAUUGAGAUGGUGACUGACUUGUUUUUCCGCUGGAUUUAGUACCAAGGGAAAAGAAGUGACAAGUCAGUCUACUGCCCUCAUGCGAUGUAAAGCGAGCGAGAGUGAUGGGACUGCGAGAAUUAUUGAUGCCUUGAAAAAGCCGUCCAACUGGGAAUGGAACUGUCAUCACUGUCAAUGAGAAGUGUCUGUAUUGGUGAUUGCUCUGCUCACGGCCCACCUUGCUCCUGAAAGGGAUGCCCCGUUUGCUGAGGCUGAAUUUGUACGAAAAGGUUCCUGACUAGCUGUGGUUUUGAGAGAGAGAGAAGAUCCCCAUUUUUAGGGGCUGCUCAGUUUUCUGGCCAGGAGCAGUGUGUCCUACGCAGCAGAAGGUUGCAUCUAGGAGAAUGAGUCCAGCUGCACUUCCAGAGGAAUUGUCCAGGAGCUCGAGCCGGAGGAGAAACUGGCAGAGGUGGAUCUGAGCAGCUUGGACAUGGUUCUAACCAGACAGGAACAGACCUCAGCUUUCUGCCUUCUGAACAACUGGCUGUGAGUAAGAGUACCAAGGAAAAAUAAGUCACAUGUCAGAGUCUACUGCCCUCAUGCAAUGGAAAGUGAGUGAGAGCAGUGAGCCUGUGAGCAUUGUUCAUGCCAGGCAAGAGCCAUUCAUUUGGGAGCCAAGCAGAUGCCACUGUCAGUGAGAUAAGUGUCUGUUUUGCUGAGGGUUCUGUUAACAGCCCAUCUGA